Long non-coding RNA from Orussus abietinus, 268 nucleotides. RefSeq lists it as uncharacterized. NCBI's taxonomy places the organism in Eukaryota, Metazoa, Arthropoda, Insecta, Hymenoptera, Orussidae. The record is from RefSeq and is a predicted model, not a curated record. The transcript is spliced from 2 exons.
CACAGCAAAAUAUAUCGUCAUCCCUCUUGACGGCACUUUUUCGUCCCAUAAUUGUUAAGAAUGAUUGACGUUGAUUGCUGCUGGCAACAAUUGGUACCGUGUCAUUGGUUGGUUCGACCUUAGACGAGAUACUACAAUGUCUGCCAUCGCUUGUAUGAAUAGUGGAUGAUCGUUCGGUGCUGCUGCUCGUCUGAUGUUUUCAAUACCGAGCUGAAAAUAUUAAAAAUUGUAAAAACGUAUACAUGAAGCAUAAAAAAUAUUCACUCAA